UACGUAGGGUGCGAGCGUUGUCCGGAAUUACUGGGCGUAAAGAGCUCGUAGGUGGUUUGUCGCGUUGUUCGUGAAAACCUGAGGCUUAACCUUGGGCGUGCGGGCGAUACGGGCAGACUGGAGUACUGCAGGGGAGACUGGAAUUCCUGGUGUAGCGGUGGAAUGCGCAGAUAUCGGGAGGAACACCAGUAGCGAAGGCGGCACUCUGGGCCGGUACUGACGCUGAGGAGCGAAAGCGUGGGGAGCAAACAGG
RNAcentral lists this ribosomal RNA (253 nucleotides) under uncultured bacterium. RNAcentral's name for it is "partial 16S ribosomal RNA". It matches the Rfam family "Bacterial small subunit ribosomal RNA", at positions 524 to 776 of the family's 1533-position model. The record is from RNAcentral.